RNAcentral lists this ribosomal RNA (460 nucleotides) under uncultured bacterium. RNAcentral describes it as "partial 16S ribosomal RNA". It matches the Rfam family "Bacterial small subunit ribosomal RNA", at positions 338 to 795 of the family's 1533-position model. The record is from RNAcentral.
CCUACGGGUGGCAGCAGUGAGGAAUAUUGGUCAAUGGACGAGAGUCUGAACCAGCCAAGUAGCGUGAAGGAUGACUGCCCUAUGGGUUGUAAACUUCUUUUAUAUGGGAAUAAAACGUUCCACGUGUGGGAUUUUGUAUGUACCAUAUGAAUAAGGAUCGGCUAACUCCGUGCCAGCAGCCGCGGUAAUACGGAGGAUCCGAGCGUUAUCCGGAUUUAUUGGGUUUAAAGGGAGCGUAGGUGGAUUGUUAAGUCAGUUGUGAAAGUUUGCGGCUCAACCGUAAAAUUGCAGUUGAAACUGGCAGUCUUGAGUACAGUAGAGGUGGGCGGAAUUCGUGGUGUAGCGGUGAAAUGCUUAGAGAUCACGAAGAACUCCGAUUGCGAAGGCAGUUCACUGGACUGCAACUGACACUGAGGCUCGAAAGUGUGGGUAUCAAACAGGAUUAGAUACCCCAGUAGUC